CAAGGAAUUUUCGGCAAUGGGCGCAAGCCUGACCGAGCAACGCCGCGUGCGGGAUGACGGCCUUCGGGUUGUAAACCGCUUUUCGGGGGGACGAUGACGACGGUACCCCCGGAAGAAGCCCCGGCUAACUCUGUGCCAGCAGCCGCGGUAAGACAGAGGGGGCGAGCGUUGUCCGGAGUUACUGGGCGUAAAGCGCGCGCAGGCGGCUGGCCUAAGUGUCGUGUGAAAGCCCCCGGCUCAACCGGGGGAGGCCAUGGCAGACUGGGUCGCUGGAGCCGCAGAGAGGCCCCUCGAAUUGCCGGUGUAGCGGUGAAAUGCGUAGAGAUCGGCAGGAAGACCAAGGGGGAAGCCAGGGGGCUGGCUGCGGGCUGACGCUGAGGCGCGACAGCGUGGGGAGCAAACCGGAUUAGAUACCCGGGUAGUCCACGCCGUAAACGAUGACCACUCGGCGUGUGGCGACUAUUGACGUCGCGGCGCGCCCAAGCUCACGCGAUAAGUGUCCGCCUGGAACUCGAGCCAGAU
This 522-nucleotide ribosomal RNA is filed under the name uncultured Roseiflexus sp. RNAcentral's name for it is "bacterial SSU rRNA". It matches the Rfam family "Bacterial small subunit ribosomal RNA", at positions 355 to 873 of the family's 1533-position model. The record is from RNAcentral. Lineage: Bacteria; Bacillati; Chloroflexota; Chloroflexia; Chloroflexales; Roseiflexaceae.